GCAGUCGUGGCCGAGUGGUUAAGGCGAUGGACUAGAAAUUCAUUGGGGUCUCCCCGCACAGGUUCGAAUCCUGUCGACUGCG
This is a non-coding RNA of Ixodes scapularis (black-legged tick), 82 nucleotides long. The record is from Rfam. NCBI's taxonomy places the organism in Eukaryota, Metazoa, Arthropoda, Arachnida, Ixodida, Ixodidae.